UACUAGUUAAGUGUCCAUGGUUUUUCAUUUGGUUCAUCUUUUUAAAUCAAAUAGGUAAAUUUAAUAACUUAAUUAUACAAUGGAAUCUAGAAUUCACUUGCAAGAUUUAAUAGAUUUAUGAACAUAAUUGAAUUACAAAGUUUUUUGGAACUUUCUUGGAUGAAAGAGGUUAAAUGUAAUCCAGGAUCAGCUGUUGACAGCAGCUGUCACUCACUUUCCAAUCUAGCUUUCCAGAUUUCAAUCACAUUGUAUUGCAUUUUGAACAUUCUUGUUUACAAGAUCCUGAGAUAUUUUGAAGUGGGGAGGCUGUGAACUUGAAGAGCACAGUGGUAGCUCAGGAGUCACAGUGUUCAACUAAGGUCUGUCAGCUUUUCACACCUGGAGUCCGAGGUGUAACUGUCCUCAUUGAUAAAUGAAGUCAGCAACCUGUCCCAACCACUGUUCCCUGUCUGUAAAACAUAGCUGGCUGCCAUGGAAAAGGCUCCUUGUGGGUUCCCCUUUGUCCCUCCCUUAGCAGUGCUGGUUAUGUUCAUUGUGUUGUUCCUCUGUAUUCCUAACAGCUGUUUCACCCUUAUGUUAAAGGUGGGAUUCUUUUAAUAUUUGGCCUAAAAAGCAAGGUGUGUAAAUUGAUUUUAUUGAUAAUUGACAGAGUAGUUUGUAAAGAAGUAAAAGGCCUUUUUGUGUCUAGUUUUUUGUAGAGCACAUCUCUGAAUGCUAGAUAAUGAAAUAAAACUGGUCAAGGAUCC
Molecule: long non-coding RNA, 746 nt
Filed under: Bos taurus (domestic cattle)
Lineage: Eukaryota; Metazoa; Chordata; Mammalia; Artiodactyla; Bovidae
Description: long non-coding RNA NONBTAT011979
Source: RNAcentral